UACGUAGGUGGCAAGCGUUGUCCGGAAUUAUUGGGCGUAAAGCGCGCGCAGGCGGUCCUUUAAGUCUGAUGUGAAAGCCCACGGCUCAACCGUGGAGGGUCAUUGGAAACUGGGGGACUUGAGUACAGAAGAGAAGAGUGGAAUUCCAUGUGUAGCGGUGAAAUGCGUAGAGAUGUGGAGGAACACCAGUGGCGAAGGCGGCUCACUGGCCCGGUACUGACGCUGAGGCACGAAAGCGUGGGGAGCAAACAGG
This 253-nucleotide ribosomal RNA is filed under the name uncultured bacterium. Its description in RNAcentral is "partial 16S ribosomal RNA". It matches the Rfam family "Bacterial small subunit ribosomal RNA", at positions 524 to 776 of the family's 1533-position model. The record is from RNAcentral.